RNAcentral lists this ribosomal RNA (1329 nucleotides) under Paratrichobius longicrus. Its description in RNAcentral is "16S ribosomal RNA". Lineage: Eukaryota; Metazoa; Arthropoda; Insecta; Diptera; Streblidae. The record is from RNAcentral.
UUUAGAUUUAUUUAUUUAAUUUUUUAGUUUAAUUUUAAUAUUAUUAAAAAUAUUUAUAAUAAAAAAUUUUUAGUAUAUUUUUGAAAAAAUAUUAUUUAAUUAUAGAUUAUUAGUACUGUAAAGGAAUAUUGAAAUAUUAUGAAAAAUUAUAAUUAUAUAAGAAAAUUUAGUUUAUUGUAUCUUGUGUAUCAGAGUUAAUUAAAUAAAAUUUAUUUAAUAAUAAAUUUCUCGAUUUUAAAAGAGUUAAUAUAAAAUUUUAUUUAAUGUAUCAAAAUUAUUAAUAAUUUUAUAUUAGAAAUUAAAAGUUAUUCGGUUUUAAAGGUAUCUAGUUCUUUAAGAAAUAAAUUUAAUUUAGAAUUUUUUAAUUAAUUAUUUUAUUUUAAAUUAAUUAAUUUAUAAAAUUUAAUUUAUUAUGGGAUAAGCUAUAAUAAAAAUUUUUAUAAUUAUAUUUUAUAUAUUAUAAAUAUAAGCUUAGAAUUAGUUAUUAUUAGAAAAAGUGUUAUAAUUUAUAUAAUAAUAAUAAAGAUUUUUUAAAAUUUAAGUAUUUAUUAAAGAAUUAUUAUUAAUAUUAGUUAAUAAGAUAAAAUGAUUAAAUUAGUAAAUUAAUAUUAUAUAAAUAUAUAUAUAUAUAUAUAUAUAAAUUUAAAUAAAGAAUUCGGCAAAAUAAAAUAUUCGCCUGUUUAACAAAAACAUGUCUUUUUGAGAAUUAUUUUAAGGUCUAACCUGCCCAGUGAUAAUUUUAACGGCCGCAGUAUAUUAACUGUGCAAAGGUAGCAUAAUCAUUAGUUUUUUAAUUGAAAGCUAGUAUGAAUGGUUGGACGAAAUAUAAACUGUUUCAUUUAAAUAUUUUAUUUGAAUUUUAUUUUUUAGUAAAAAAGCUAAAAUUUAUUUAAAAGACGAGAAGACCCUAUAAAUCUUUAUAAUAAAUUUAUUUAUAUAUUUAUAUUUAAAUAAUAUUUUAAUAAAUUAUUUAUUUUAUUGGGGUGAUAUUAAAAUUUAUUAAACUUUUAAUUAAUAUUUUUCAUAAAUUAAUGUAAUAUUUGAUCCAUUAUUAAUGAUUAAUAAAAUAAGUUACUUUAGGGAUAACAGCGUAAUAAUUUUGGAGAGUUCUUAUUAAUAAAAUUGAUUGCGACCUCGAUGUUGGAUUAAGAUAUAGUUUUAGGUGUAGAAGCUUAAAUUUUAAGUCUGUUCGACUUUUAAAAUCUUACAUGAUCUGAGUUCAGACCGGCGUAAGCCAGGUUGGUUUCUAUCUUUAAAUUUUUAAUAUAAUAUAGUACGAAAGGAUUUAUUAUAUAAUAUAAAAUAUUUAUUUUAAUGAAUAUAAUUAAU